Non-coding RNA from Silurus meridionalis, 859 nucleotides. The record is from the annotation of a RefSeq genome assembly. NCBI's taxonomy places the organism in Eukaryota, Metazoa, Chordata, Actinopteri, Siluriformes, Siluridae.
UCACCCACAGCUACCAUGACUUUGAUCCCCGUCUUCAUCUGGACACUGAUCCUCUGGACUCAAGAAUGCAGAGGUCAAGCAACAGUAACUCAGACUCCUGCAGUGAAAUCUGUUCUUCCAGGAGAAACAGUCACCAUCAACUGUAAAACCAGUCCAGCAGUGUAUAGCAACAACUACUUAUUCUGGUAUCAGCAGAAACCUGGAGAAGCUCCUAAACUCCUGAUUAAAUUUGCCAAUCAGUUACAGUCAGGUUUUCCAGCUCGUUUCAGUGGCAGUGGAUCUGGAUCUGAUUUCACUAUGACCAUCAGUGGAGUCCAGACUGAAGAUGCAGGAGAUUAUUACUGUCAGAGUUACCAUUCCAUCUCUGGCUACUGGUUCACACAGUGAUAUAGAGUCGUACAAAAACCUCCCUCAGUCAGAUAGUAGAGAAACUGCACUGCUGCAGCUGGGAGCGACUGCAGGUGCUGAGUUGGAGGAUGUGAUACACACAAACACACAAAUUCCUAUUUAACAGACACAAAUCUUGUGUCUUUUACAUUGAUUUGUGUCUGUGUGUUUAAUUUCUUGGUUUUAAGAGCUUUUGGGAGCAGAACACAAAUUAAAUUAAGCACUUUGCUUUCCUGGACAGAAAGUUACUGAGUUUAUAAUGCUAAUGUCGAGCUCAUAUUGAGCUGUGAUUAUUUCCUACAGAGCUUCAUCAUUUUUUUACAGUGUUUUUAGCAUAUAGCAUUAGGCACACAAAAAGUUUUAUUAGUAGAUUGAAAAUUUCAUCAUAGAGAAUGAACUGUGAACUGAAUAUUUACUAUUAUAAUUAAUCAUGAAAAUAGUUUAUAAUAUAAACUUCUGUGUUGAAUUUCAA